RNAcentral lists this ribosomal RNA (465 nucleotides) under uncultured bacterium. RNAcentral's name for it is "bacterial SSU rRNA". It matches the Rfam family "Bacterial small subunit ribosomal RNA", at positions 338 to 795 of the family's 1533-position model. The record is from RNAcentral.
UCUACGGGUGGCAGCAGUAGGGAAUCUUCCGCAAUGGACGAAAGUCUGACGGAGCAACGCCGCGUGAGCGAAGAAGGUCUUCGGAUCGUAAAGCUCUGUUGUUAGGGAAGAACAAGUACGGGAGGAAAUGACCGUACCUUGACGGUACCUAACGAGGAAGCCACGGCUAACUACGUGCCAGCAGCCGCGGUAAUACGUAGGUGGCAAGCGUUGUCCGGAAUUAUUGGGCGUAAAGCGCGCGCAGGCGGUCUUUUAAGUCUGAUGGUGAAAUCUUGCGGCUCAACCGCAAGCGGUCAUNGGAACCUGGGGAACUUGGGGGCGAAAGGGAAAAGGGGAAUUCCAGGUGUGGCGGGAAAUGGCGUAGGGAUGUGGAGGAACACCAGGGGCAAAGGCGGCUUUUGGGUCGGAAACGGCCGCGGGGGCGCGAAAGCGUGGGAGCAAACAGGAUUAGAUACCCUAGUAGUC